RNAcentral lists this ribosomal RNA (254 nucleotides) under uncultured bacterium. Its description in RNAcentral is "partial 16S ribosomal RNA". It matches the Rfam family "Bacterial small subunit ribosomal RNA", at positions 524 to 776 of the family's 1533-position model. The record is from RNAcentral.
UACGUAGGGUGCGAGCGUUGUCCGGAAUUAUUGGGCGUAAAGAGCUCGUAGGCGGUGUGUCACGUCGGCCGUGAAAACCUGCAGCUUAACUGUGGGCGUGCGGUCGAUACGGGCAUCACUGGAGUUCGGCAGGGGAGACUGGAAUUCCUGGUGUAGCGGUGAAAUGCGCAGAUAUCAGGAGGAAUACCGAUGGCGAAGGCAGGUCUCUGGGCUGACACUGACGCUCAUGCUCGAAAGCGUGGGGAGCAAACAGG